This 64-nucleotide transfer RNA is filed under the name Scutogyrus longicornis. RNAcentral's name for it is "tRNA-Gly". The record is from RNAcentral. Lineage: Eukaryota; Metazoa; Platyhelminthes; Monogenea; Dactylogyridea; Ancyrocephalidae.
GGGUUAAUAGUAUAUUUAUUAUGUUGCUUUUCCAAAGCAGAGAUCUUUUUAUUUAGUUAGCUCA